UGGCUCUUGCACCUGUAUCAGGGUCAAUGGCAGGGUCAGCGGCAAAUAGCAGAGGGGCCUGAAAACAGAUGGGAACUCUAGAAAAGGCAGUGGGGAGCUGUCGAGAGCAUUUUGAGGGGGGCAGUGAUACUGUUGGCUCUGCAUUUCGGAAAGGUGGUUUUCAGGGCAGUUUGGAUGAUGCUGGGGAGAGGCUGACAGGUUCAAGGUCAUUCCUGAGGAGCAGAUGCAUAAUCCACUUAUGAAACGGACGGGGGAUGCCUGGAGUUAGCACAUAUUAAGUGCUUGCUGUAGUCAAGCCCUAUUGGGCACCAGGGAGGUCUGGACUCUGACAGCGGAGCUAAGGGGUGGUCCUGCCUGCACCAGAUUUCAGUGGCUUCUCAGGCUUCUCUGCAGCAUGGGUGUCCUGCCUUGGCCAGAGCCGAAAUCCCAGAGCAGUGAAAAAGGACCCAGUGUCACGGGGCUUCUGGUUUCAGGACACACUGGAAAGUGUUCUCUGUGAACAUGGUAGCUGUCACAGGCUGGUCUGUGCUGGAGUUAUCCUGGCACCCAGCCUACAAACAGAGGAAAUGUGCAGUCCAUCCAUGGAAUUUGGAUUUUUCCUGAAGAGCACUCCCCCAGUA
Cebus imitator (Panamanian white-faced capuchin) is the source of this 620-nucleotide long non-coding RNA. RefSeq lists it as uncharacterized. The record is from RefSeq and is a predicted model, not a curated record. The transcript has 6 exons. NCBI's taxonomy places the organism in Eukaryota, Metazoa, Chordata, Mammalia, Primates, Cebidae.